UUUUGUCUUCUGAUCUGCUCUGUCUGAUUUUGUUCAGAAUUGGCAGUUGUUUUGAUGUCAAUGAUCAACAGUUAGGGUAUUCUGGACUAUCAUUGGGUAGAGAAGUGCUCAUAUCUAUUCGACAGCUGAAAAAGUGAAUGUUUGAACACAGCAUAAAUGUUUUUGGGCCGGGGACUAUCUCACGCAUUGUAGUUUGUAAUUCUUAUGUAAUCGUGCGUUGUGGCCGAAUGGUAUUGGAGCGUUAGGACGAUUCUUAUUCAUAAAUUUCAAUUUGAUAUAGUGGGCUUCUUAUAGAUACCUCAAUGUCUGGAGGCACACUGACUGGUGUGAGAGUGUUUGUGAAGAGAAACUUUGUGUCAGUUAUCUUUCCAAUUAUAUGUUUUGGAUCUAUUGCUGCUGAUUAUUCACACACGAAAGCAUGGAAAGCUAGCAAAUUGGCAGCUGCACAGCCCGCAUAAUGUGGGCAUUCCACAGAACAGCUUUGCUGCUAGCUUUACCCUUUUGUGGGCCACACCAUGUCAUCAGUGUGAUAUGAAGUUACUGAAUAGUCAAUAGGAGGCUGACUUGAAUCAUCAACAGUUUAAACCAACAUGACCUGUCUGGUGAUGUAUUUGUUAUUUUUAUCAUAACAAAUGAGAGUAUGUAACAGAACAAUGGUCACAUGGCUACUAUUUACAUACAAAGCAGGUUUGGCAGACCUGCUCUUUCCUUUGCAGUUUUGUUGUGCGAGUGAAUGUACCUACUCUAUUGAAGUAAUAUAUUAACAAAAUCCA
Amphibalanus amphitrite is the source of this 773-nucleotide long non-coding RNA. RefSeq lists it as uncharacterized. NCBI's taxonomy places the organism in Eukaryota, Metazoa, Arthropoda, Thecostraca, Balanomorpha, Balanidae. The transcript has 3 exons. The record is from RefSeq and is a predicted model, not a curated record.